UUAGCUAGUUGGUGAGGUAACGGCUCACCAAGGCGACGAUGGGUAACCGGCCUGAGAGGGUGAACGGCCACACUGGGACUGAGACACGGCCCAGACUCCUACGGGAGGCAGCAGUAGGGAAUAUUGCGCAAUGGAGGGAACUCUGACGCAGCGACGCCGCGUGAGCGAUGAAGGUUUUCGGAUCGUAAAGCCCUGUCCUUGGGGAAGAAGGGUGCGAAGCAUCUUGACGGUACCUAAGGAGGAAGCCCCGGCUAACUACGUGCCAGCAGCCGCGGUAAUACGUAGGGGGCAAGCGUUGUCCGGAAUUAUUGGGCGUAAAGGGUGCGUAGGCGGCCUUUUAAGUCAGAUGUGAAAGACCACGGCUUAACCGUGGGGUUGCAUUUGAAACUGGAAGGCUUGAGUAUCGGAGAGGGUAGUGGAAUUCCCAGUGUAGCGGUGGAAUGCGUAGAUAUUGGGAGGAACACCAGUGGCGAAGGCGACUACCUGGACGAAAACUGACGCUGAGGCACGAAAGCUAGGGGAGCAAACAGGAUUAGAUACCCUGGUAGUCCUAGCCGUAAACGAUGGGUACUAGGUGUAGGAGGUUUCGAUACCUUCUGUGCCGCAGUUAAC
RNAcentral lists this ribosomal RNA (612 nucleotides) under uncultured bacterium. Its description in RNAcentral is "bacterial SSU rRNA". It matches the Rfam family "Bacterial small subunit ribosomal RNA", at positions 241 to 856 of the family's 1533-position model. The record is from RNAcentral.